UGGGGAAUUUUGGACAAUGGGCGAAAGCCUGAUCCAGCAAUGCCGCGUGUGUGAAGAAGGCCUUCGGGUUGUAAAGCACUUUUGUCCGGAAAGAAAUCCUUGGCUCUAAUACAGUCGGGGGAUGACGGUACCGGAAGAAUAAGCACCGGCUAACUACGUGCCAGCAGCCGCGGUAAUACGUAGGGUGCAAGCGUUAAUCGGAAUUACUGGGCGUAAAGCGUGCGCAGGCGGUUUGCUAAGACCGAUGUGAAAUCCCCGGGCUCAACCUGGGAACUGCAUUGGUGACUGGCAGGCUAGAGUAUGGCAGAGGGGGGUAGAAUUCCACGUGUAGCAGUGAAAUGCGUAGAGAUGUGGAGGAAUACCGAUGGCGAAGGCAGCCCCCUGGGCCAAUACUGACGCUCAUGCACGAAAGCGUGGGGAGCAAACAGGAUUAGAUACCCUGGUGNGCCACGCCCUAAACGAUGUCAACUAGUUGUUGGGGAUUCAUUUCCUUAGUAACGUAGCUAACGCGUGAAGUUGACCGCCUGGGGAGUACGGUCGCAAGAUUAAAACUUAAAUGAAUUGACGGGGUCAUAGCUGUUUCCU
RNAcentral lists this ribosomal RNA (585 nucleotides) under uncultured bacterium. RNAcentral describes it as "partial 16S ribosomal RNA". It matches the Rfam family "Bacterial small subunit ribosomal RNA", at positions 355 to 1375 of the family's 1533-position model. The record is from RNAcentral.